Molecule: long non-coding RNA, 6225 nt
Organism: Prionailurus viverrinus (fishing cat)
Lineage: Eukaryota; Metazoa; Chordata; Mammalia; Carnivora; Felidae
Exons: 2
Source: RefSeq, a predicted model, not a curated record
CUGUGAUGCCCAAGUUGCUUAGGUUACGGGAUAUAUCAGUUAGGAUUCCUUCCUCUGCAAGUUAAGAGAAGACUCCUGCUCGGAAUGACUUAAGUAGUCAGAACAUUAACCGUUUUACAAAACGUAGAGCAGCUUCGUGAGGCGUCGCGUCCAGUGGCCCGGUGACGGCAGGGAGUUAGGUUCUCUCCGUGUUUCUGCUCUGCUGUCCUCUGUGUACUGACUUUGUCUUCCGCCAGCUCCCCUCCCGUCCAGCCUUUCCUGGCGUCUCUUGUGAUGAGUGAGGAAAUCUUUCUCGAAGCCCCUGACUUUCCCACGCGUCUCAUUGGCCUGAGUGAUGCCUCAGGCCCGGCCCCAGCCAGUCGGUGGCAAGGGAAGGAGCCAUCGGAUGGACUUCGUGAGGCAUGGGCCUGAGGAGUAGAUGUUGCAUCACCCGAACCAAAUCAGAGCCCGUGAGUAGGAGCAGAGGGGCAUGGAUGUGGGGACAGCCAACCAGGAUCUGCUACCCCGGGAAUUUUAUUUUAUUUUUUUAAGUUUAUUUAUUUAUUUUGAGAGAGAGAGAGAGAGAGGGAGGCCGCAAGCAGGGAAGGAGCAAAGACAGAGGGAGAGAGAGAAUCCCAAGCAGACUCUGCCUGACGCGGGGCUCGAUGUCCGGAACCAUAAGAUCAGGACGUGAGCCGCAAUCAAGAGUCAGAUGCUCAACCAACUGAGCUACCCAGGUGCCCCUGCUACAUUAGAAACUUUAAAUUUAUUCAGUUUUCUUGCUGACUUGGGAGGGGGGGCGGUCAAUAACUGACAGUAACGCUUGCUCCUAAAAUACGUGUAUUUUGUACUCCGUUCUUCACGCGGGGGCAGUUUUAGGCAUUCGCGUCUUCUGUUGGCCUUGCACUUUCCAGACAGGCCCUUUUCCCAGGGACCAUCCAGGUCGGCGGUCCUCUAGCAUUUAAGCUCUUCUCCCCAUCGAUGCGUCUGCUGUCUCCCAGAGUUGGCUGUUUCAGGUCUCCAUCUAGCAAGGACUAGAAAAGGGGAAACUAAGGAUUCUAAAUAUUACAAGGCUUUAGAUGAAUAAGCCCCCAGCUUGGCAAAGGGCAGGGCAGUAGGCUUCUGGCUGGCGGCCCCCAAGAGCCAGCGCCCCUGCUCGCCGCUCACCCAGGGACGCUGCGGGAUCAGUGGAGAGACAGGCAGGCACAGGUGGCUCCUGAAAUUUGGGAGAAACAGGGUGCUGGCUGCUCUCCUGGGAAAGCCGGCUCCACCAGACAUGCACGGACGGUAAUUUCCGAGGCGGAAAACAUCCAAGUGAGGUUUUUCUUGGGUCUCGUCCCUGAGACACCCUCCCCCCCACCCCCGCCCCGACUCUCGAGACAGGUUUGUCUCUGCCCAGCCUGGACGGAAGUCACCGCAGACGUGGAUGGGUCUCUGGGGCUCCUCUGAGCCACCGUCACCUUCCUGCUGCCGGGUCAGGUUUUCUGCAGGAGGCCGGUGCAAGGGCGGAAAAAGGCCUUCCAGCUUUCAACGUCAUUGUGAAAGGCAGGAGGACCCUUAACGGCUGGGGGUAAAAGUCAUCGGGUUCCUUUCCAAGCCUGGCAGGGGAGUGUGUGGGGGCAGGAAGCGAGGGAGACCCAGAAUCCGAAGCAGGCUCCAGGCCCUGAGCGGUCAGCACAGAGCCCGACGCAGGGCUCGAACCGGCGAACCGCAAGGUCAUGACCUGAGCCGAAGUCGGGCGCUUAACCGACUGAGCCACCCCAGGCGCCUUAAAAGUGCUGUUCUCGAGGAUCAGAACCGCUCACGGUUGCAAUUUGGCACGUCUGCGAUUCCUUGCCCAUCUCCGUCUUCACGGGCCCUGCGAGGCCCAGGACGUCCCCCACCCUCCCCACCCAGUGUGGGUUGAGCACAGUCAGUAGCCGAUGGGUGCUGAAGGUACAUCAGUGCUUCCCGAGACAAGUGCUGUGGGAUCGGGAAGGUUUCCUGAGUGGACGUCCACAUCUCCUGGAUGAAGACGACACCUCCUUUUCCAGGAUUGGAACGUCCAAGAGCCAUGUUGCCAGAAUCCAUUUUUCUUUAGCACUUGGAGUUUCAGUGCUAGGAGCUUACUCCCUUGGUAAAGAUGACUUCUGGUUUCCUCGUGUUGCCCUGGCUCCCUGGACCAGCAGCCCUGCCUGUGCAGCGAGAGGCGUUGGGCCUGGGGCUCACAAGGGCCCCUGUAAGGACAAGUCAAGUGAAGGCAAAGUCAGGGCUCUGAACCGAGCCCCAGGCCUUUCAGCAACAGAAGCUCGCUGGUAAUUGAACCAAAGGCCUUUCGGUAGAAGAGAACAUACGUUGAAAUCUAAGUACGUUCACUCUGACCUUGGGUUGCAGCUUUGCAAGAGACUCUGACUUGGUUAAGACUGCUGACUCGGCGUGCUUUGUGUCUCGUAGAACACAGUCAGAGUUCGUGCAUUGACUGAUCAUUCACCCUUCCUGGAGUUCUGGUUUCGCCUCUCUGACUGGGAAGUUUGUCCCCAAAGUCCCAGCCUGCCCUCGCUGACUGGGAAGAUGAUCCCUGAAGUCCAGGCCUCCCCUCUCUGACUGGGAAGAUGGUCCCCGAAGUCCAGACGUCCCCUCUCUGACUGGAAAGAUUGUCCCCAAAGUCCAGGCUACUCUCUGACUGGGAAGAUGGUCCCUGAAGUCCAGGCCUCCCCUCUCUGACUGGGAAGAUCGUCCUCUCUGUCUGAGGACCCUGGACUCAGGAGGAAGAGGAAAGACCCCCUCCUGGCCACCAUAGCUGCCAGAUCAACCCUGGUGCCUGGGGAGCAGCCUCCAUGGGCAGACACAUUCACCCAGGUCACCGCCUGGAUUCAGAAAACGGGGUUCUGUGUGGAAACCGGGGGCAGGAGCAGUAGAAGUUGCAUCCGGUCCUGCGUUUCUGCGCCGUGUUUUCCUCUGGUUCAUCUUCGGAGCCCGAGGGUGGCCUGGAUCCAAGACGUAGCAGGCCCCCGGUCUUCCUCCCACAUUCUCUCCGCGCUGUGGACCUUCCGCUGCAGUCAGCCCGUCCAGGAGACGCACACGGGCUCCCCCCACCCCCCCGACCGGACCUUUGUGCUCGGCAAGAGCAGUGCCGGGCGCCGGGUCUGAAGCCAGCGGGCGUCGUGAGCCCCUUCCCGCCCCGCACACCCCGUCUUUGGAAGGGCCCGCCCGUCCCACAUGCCGUGCUGUGCUCGCGGAGACCAGGCGUGCCGGCCGCUGCUCUCAGUACUUGGGGGUCCCCUGCCUGGUCCAGCCAGUCUGGGGGUUCUUCAGGCUCCUGCCCGCCCCCCGCGCUUGCUUGAGGACGGUCGCCGUGGAAGGUGCCGUCGGCCCCACCCCACACCUGCUGGGUCAGAGGCGCGCGGAGCUGGGAAUCCGCACCUCACCGGGUGGUUCUUGGACACGGGAAAGCUGACUGCCGGUGCUCCAGGCUGACAAAGGUGCCCUUCUGGAACUUUCGAAGCUUUGGGAUAAAAUUGGACGCGUCAGAGGCGUGUUUUCCACACUAAAACUUAAAAGUCCGGUCCGGUUUGCUUUUUAGGCAGGGCUUUAUGGCUUCGCCCGUUUGGGGACAGAAGGCUACGGAGAGAACAAACUCCCACCGGACGUUUGGCAGCCAGGAAAGGAGAAGCCGUGUGCCCUGCACCCUGCGGGGUGUGUGAGAAGGCUGCCGGGGGGGCCUCCUCCUCCCAGUGAUUCAACCAAACGCGGAUCUAGGUGCUGCCGGGAAGGCAUUUUGCAGAUGUGGGUGGCAUCUACAACCAGCUGACUUUAAGUAAAGAUGAUCCUCCAUGAUGUGGGUGGGCCUCGUCCAAUCAGUUGAAAGGCCUCAAGAACAAAGCCGGGGUUUUCCUGAGGAGGAAGAAAUUCCACCUGUGGCCUGUAGUGUCAGCUCCUGCCGGAGAGUUUCCAGCCUGGCCGGGCUGCCCCGGCCAGCCCCACAGUCAUGUGAGCCAGUUCCUUGAAAUAAGCCUCUUACUCUGUAUCUCCUUCUGGUUCCGUUUCCCUGGUAGAAUUCUGACUGAUACACCCUCUCCGUGGCUCCCAGGAUCGGGGCGGGGGGGGGGGGGGGCAGUCGGUGCUGCUUUGUUCCGUGGCUCCCUUUCCGCGUGGACGUGCGGUUUUAAACUACUGUCCUCUUCUAACUUUUUUCUCUUCCAGGAAAGUGCUGACUUGGGUGUUUUCCCUCCUUGUCAGUGAGUCGUGGGCCGGCCCUGUUGGGAUCCGUUGCCGGUCUCCACUUUCUCCACCGUCCCAUCUUUCCUCCUCCUCUUUCCUUCCCAUCCACAGGUCCCGGGGAGAGGCCGCACAGGCCUGCCGCCCGAGUCGCCGACCGGGCCAGCUGUGAGUGUUUCUUUGGCAGUGUCUUAGCUGGUUGUUGUGAGUAAUAGUGAAGGAAGCAAUCAGCAAGUAUACUGCCCUAGAAGUGCUGCACGUUGUGGGGCCCGCGAGGGAAGGAACAGGCGAGAGGCACCCGGAGCCAGCGGGGGACGCCGGAUCCAGGAUGUGGGCGGCUGUGCUCCGCCAUGUUGGUUGGUAAGGGCCUUCCGGGGGGAGCAGCCUCUAGGGCCCCCGGACUGGCCUGCUCGUGGGAGAGAAAAGCACCCAGGCUGGGGCCUGGAGGCUUCUGGCUGGGAGAAGUUUGCACACAGGGAUAAGCAAAGCCGGCAUUUACAGAGCGCUUAGGACGCAUGAAGCCCUGUUCUAAGCGUUCCGAAAUGUGUUCCCUCGGGAGCAAGAGUCUGCUGUUAUUUUUGUCUUAGAGAGAAGAAAACGGAAACACAGAGAGCAAAAGCCAACAAAGGAUGCAGCUGAUAGAAGCGGGGGACGGGGUUUGAACCCGAGCAGUGUGGCUUGAGAAUCUGUGCUCUUAACCCGGGGCCCGUGUCCCUAGAGAUGGGCCUGGGGUGGCAUCGCCACCCUGCGGACACCCAGACCCUGUUCCUCUUUCCCCGUGAGGCCGAUUGUGAAGGAAGUCAUUAGCUUUGGCGAGUGUGGCUGGGUGGGCAUUCGGAGGCGUGGCUGCCUUGGGGAGACUUUUCCUUCUCCGCCGAGGCCAGCCCCAGGACGGUGACCGGAAUGGAAUGAGAAGUUGCAGGUGUUUCCGCCCCGGUGGCGGAUCAGGAAGCUGCCUCCACGGGAGCUCAGCUAAAAGAGAGUCGAAUUCUCUGGGUCCUCUCGGCCCUCCCUGCGGACGCCGGCUUCGGGUCCAGCGGACCGUGCGGCCGGCUGGAUUGCCAUGGCAACACGAAGUGGACCCAAGCCCCCGGAGGACGGAGAGCAAAGACACAGUGGUGGCUUCUGUCGGUCUUGGACCACAAAGCGCAUCCUUGGCCUCCGUCUAGUGUUUGCAGGAAUUCACACACGUCCGCGAGGUGAAGCCAGAUGUCGGUGGUUACUCCUCUGGUCCCCCUGGCUGAGACGGGCCUCCAGGGUCUGCGAGGUGAUGGCGCUUCCGGUACCUUUGAUGCAGACCGAGGACAGCACCUGCUGUGACCCCCCCGGCCUCCGCACGCCCCCUCUGCUCGUCCUCCGGCCACUGCCUGGGGCACCGCCCUUGCUCCGGCCCGCCUGCCUGGACCCCAUGUAGUGGCUCUCUUGUCUCACCUGCCUCCGUGCUUCCUAGCAACCGAAGGGGAGCUGAGCCCGUUUCCAUCUUGACCCCUUUAUGUAAGCCAGAAGACCCCUUAGAAAGGUUUUCUGAGACUUGGAGUCUAACGUUGGCCUUGACACACCUCCUCGGGUCCAAGCUGGUCAUCUCCCUCUCAGUGCUCGAGAGCAAAGUGGACCGCCAGGCUCGCUUUAGCAAAUCGGAUUCCGGGGGGGGGGGGGGGGGGGGGGGACUCCUUCUGUUUCUUCUCCAGGGCUCAGAGGGGAGAGGGUCCCUUUGUAAUGCACUUGGGACUGGCCACGCCCAUGCCUCCUUGGCCACAGAUUCCCCUCUCUGCUCCCCAGGCCCGUGGAGCUGGGCGUGGGCUGCAGUGGGGGCCGUGGGAUGUCUGGAAUGCCAGCCGCGGUGACCGACCAACGCUCAGCUCCCAGAGCUGUUGACCAAGGCAGCAUUGGGGAUGGCUUUGGAGCCGAAGUCUUCACAUUUUUCCUAGUUUCGGGCGGAAGUGAAGAAUGCCCGCCUUCUCCCAGCCCCACCAGUUAAUUCAGGAGCUUGAAUUUUUUUGUUUGUUUGUUUGUUUUCUAAAUUAAAGGGACCACGCUCUUGGAUUGUGA